RNAcentral lists this ribosomal RNA (455 nucleotides) under uncultured bacterium. RNAcentral describes it as "bacterial SSU rRNA". It matches the Rfam family "Bacterial small subunit ribosomal RNA", at positions 340 to 787 of the family's 1533-position model. The record is from RNAcentral.
UACGGAAGGCAGCAGGGGGGAAUAUUGCACAAUGGGCGCAAGCCUGAUGCAGCCAUGCCGCGUGUAUGAAGAAGGCCUUCGGGUUGUAAAGUACUUUCAGUCGUGAGGAAGGUGUUAAGGUUAAUAACCUUAGCAAUUGACGUUAGCGACAGAAGAAGCACCGGCUAACUCCGUGCCAGCAGCCGCGGUAAUACGGAGGGUGCGAGCGUUAAUCGGAAUUACUGGGCGUAAAGGGCACGCAGGCGGUUAAUUAAGUUGGAUGUGAAAUCCCCGGGCUUAACCUGGGAAUGGCAUUCAAGACUGGUUAGCUAGAGUCUUGUAGAGGGGGUAGAAUUCCAUGUGUAGCGGUGAAAUGCGUAGAGAUGUGGAGGAAUACCGGUGGCGAAGGCGGCCCCUGGACAAAGACUGACGCUCAUGUGCGAAAGCGUGGGGAGCAAACGAGGGAUUAGAUACCC